UAAGCAUAUCAAUAAGCGGAGGAAAAGAAACUAACAAGGAUUCCCCUAGUAACUGCGAGUGAAGAGGGAAGAGCUCAAAUUUGAAAUCUGGCAGUGUUUUGCUGUCCGAGUUGUAAUCUAGAGAAGUGCUGCCCGUGCUGGACCAUGUACAAGUCUCCUGGAAUGGAGCGUCACAGAGGGUGAGAAUCCCGUCUUUGACAUGGACUGCCAGUGCAUUUGUGGUGUGCUCUCAAAGAGUCGAGUUGUUUGGGAAUGCAGCUCUAAAUGGGUGGUAAACUCCAUCUAAAGCUAAAUAUUGGCGAGAGACCGAUAGCGAACAAGUACCGUGAGGGAAAGAUGAAAAGAACUUUGGAAAGAGAGUUAAACAGUAUGUGAAAUUGUUGAAAGGGAAACGCUUAAAGUCAGUCGUGUCGGCCAGGGAUCAACUCAGUAUUAUCUGCUGGGUGUACUUCCUGAUCUGAUGGGCCAACAUCAGUUUUGACUGCUGGAGAAGGAUAGAGGGAAUGUGGCACCUUCGGGUGUGUUAUAGCUCUCUGUCGGAUGCAGUGGUUGGGACUGAGGAAAGCAGCAUGCCGCAAGGCCGGGUCGUUUCGACCACGUUCAUGCUGAGGAUGUUGGCAUAAUGGCUUUAAUCGACCCGU
RNAcentral lists this ribosomal RNA (641 nucleotides) under Amanita pantherina. RNAcentral's name for it is "eukaryotic LSU rRNA". It matches the Rfam family "Eukaryotic large subunit ribosomal RNA", at positions 35 to 652 of the family's 3401-position model. Lineage: Eukaryota; Fungi; Basidiomycota; Agaricomycetes; Agaricales; Amanitaceae. The record is from RNAcentral.